Molecule: non-coding RNA, 93 nt
Filed under: Lachnospiraceae bacterium MD335
Lineage: Bacteria; Bacillati; Bacillota; Clostridia; Lachnospirales; Lachnospiraceae
Also listed under: 1 other name
Description: Lachnospiraceae bacterium COE1 THF (Tetrahydrofolate) riboswitch aptamer
Rfam family: THF (Tetrahydrofolate) riboswitch aptamer
About the family: THF riboswitch presents a pseudoknot that joins P1-P2 and the loop of P3 and two THF binding.
Source: Rfam by way of RNAcentral
AGCAGUUCCUUAAGUGCCUUGUGAACAGGGAGUUGUCACAGGGACGAAAAAGCCCUCUGGGGCUUUGCGGUACGAGGUUCGCAUCCCGCUGCU